RNAcentral lists this long non-coding RNA (498 nucleotides) under Salmo salar (Atlantic salmon). RNAcentral describes it as "lncRNA (ENSSSAG00000102541.1)". The record is from RNAcentral. Lineage: Eukaryota; Metazoa; Chordata; Actinopteri; Salmoniformes; Salmonidae.
UGCCAACACAAUUGCGUAGCCUCCGGAGACACGCAGAGGCCAAAUUGAGCACCAUACCACAUCACCGUUUGCCUCUCAAAUGUAACAAUUCGGAGGGCUUAGUAUAACUCUGCAUUCACAUGAUUGGUUGAUGCCACAAUUAACAAGAAGAAGAGCAGACUGAGGAGGACUGAGUUUUGAAAUCAGUGGAAUUCGAGUAUGAUAGCUAAGGAGAUGGAGAAAACACCUGUCUGGAUUACAUCUUCAAACUAAGGGCAACCAUGCAUGGCAUCAGACAGGAGAUGCAUCCAACCAUGAUGAAUACGGGACAAUGACCCAACACACCUCCAGGCUGUGUAAGGGCUAUUUUACCAAGAAGGAGAGUGAUGGAGUGCUGCAUCGGAUGACCUGGCCUCCACAAUCCCCUGACCUCAACCAACACUAUAGCCUAAAGGAACUCAAACCCAACUACAGGGGCCAGAACAGUGGUGUUUUUGUAGGGUUUUUGGGUAAAGGCUG